GCCUGGCUCUUGAUGUUUUGAUUUGAUGUUUUCAGGUUUCUUCGAAGGAAGCCGAGUGUUUUGUUGGCUUUCGAGAUAUUGUCAUCUAUGUGUUUGUCCCAUUUAAGGUUUGAUUGUAAUGUGAUGCCUAAGUAUUUAGCAGAUGUAACAGUUUCUAAAAUAUGAUUGUGAAGAGUGUAAUUAUGUUGUAAAGGUUGAAGUUUAGUUGUGACAGAGAGAACAUUACACUUGUCUGGGUGGAAGGCCAUCAGCCAGUCCUCUUCCCAUUUUGCAGCUGCAUCAAGGUCAGCU
This 291-nucleotide long non-coding RNA is filed under the name Mytilus galloprovincialis (Mediterranean mussel). Lineage: Eukaryota; Metazoa; Mollusca; Bivalvia; Mytilida; Mytilidae. The record is from RNAcentral.